GGUGAAAAGCACCCCGGAAGGGGAGUGAAAUAGAACCUGAAACCGUGUGCUUACAAGUAGUCAGAGCCCGUUAAUGGGUGAUGGCGUGCCUUUUGUAGAAUGAACCGGCGAGUUACGAUUUGAUGCAAGGUUAAGCAGUAAAUGUGGAGCCGUAGCGAAAGCGAGUCUGAAUAGGGCGUUUAGUAUUUGGUCGUAGACCCGAAACCAGGUGAUCUACCCUUGGUCAGGUUGAAGUUCAGGUAACACUGAAUGGAGGACCGAACCGACUUACGUUGAAAAGUGAGCGGAUGAACUGAGGGUAGCGGAGAAAUUCCAAUCGAACCUGGAGAUAGCUGGUUCUCUCCGAAAUAGCUUUAGGGCUAGCCUCAAGUGAUGAUUAUUGGAGGUAGAGCACUGUUUGGACGAGGGGCCCCUCUCGGGUUACCGAAUUCAGACAAACUCCGAAUGCCAAUUAAUUUAACUUGGGAGUCAGAACAUGGGUGAUAAGGUCCGUGUUCGAAAGGGAAACAGCCCAGACCACCAGCUAAGGUCCCAAAAUAUAUGUUAAGUGGAAAAGGAUGUGGCGUUGCCCAGACAACUAGGAUGUUGGCUUAGAAGCAGCCAUCAUUUAAAGAGUGCGUAAUAGCUCACUAGUCGAGUGACACUGCGCCGAAAAUGUACCGGGGCUAAACAUAUUA
RNAcentral lists this ribosomal RNA (677 nucleotides) under Staphylococcus aureus. RNAcentral describes it as "partial 23S ribosomal RNA". It matches the Rfam family "Bacterial large subunit ribosomal RNA", at positions 513 to 1193 of the family's 2925-position model. The record is from RNAcentral. Lineage: Bacteria; Bacillati; Bacillota; Bacilli; Caryophanales; Staphylococcaceae.